GUCCUUGUAGAGCCACGGAUAGCUCGUUGAACAACUAAUCCAACGGUCGAGGGUUCAAAUCCCACCUAGGAUG
RNAcentral lists this transfer RNA (73 nucleotides) under Trichonephila inaurata madagascariensis. It matches the Rfam family "tRNA". Rfam says of the family: Transfer RNA (tRNA) molecules are approximately 80 nucleotides in length. Their secondary structure includes four short double-helical elements and three loops (D, anti-codon, and T loops). Further hydrogen bonds mediate the characteristic L-shaped molecular structure. tRNAs have two regions of fundamental functional importance: the anti-codon, which is responsible for specific mRNA codon recognition, and the 3' end, to which the tRNAs corresponding amino acid is attached (by aminoacyl-tRNA synthetases). tRNAs cope with the degeneracy of the genetic code in two manners: having more than one tRNA (with a specific anti-codon) for a particular amino acid; and 'wobble' base-pairing, i.e. permitting non-standard base-pairing at the 3rd anti-codon position. Lineage: Eukaryota; Metazoa; Arthropoda; Arachnida; Araneae; Nephilidae. The record is from Rfam by way of RNAcentral.